Molecule: ribosomal RNA, 253 nt
Filed under: uncultured bacterium
Lineage: Bacteria
Description: partial 16S ribosomal RNA
Rfam family: Bacterial small subunit ribosomal RNA
Source: RNAcentral
UACGAAGGGGGCUAGCGUUGUUCGGAAUUACUGGGCGUAAAGCGCGCGUAGGCGGAUAUUUAAGUCAGGGGUGAAAUGCCAGGGCUUAACCUUGGAACUGCCUUUGAUACUGGAUGUCUGGAGUACGGGAGAGGUGAGUGGAAUUCCGAGUGUAGAGGUGAAAUUCGUAGAUAUUCGGAGGAACACCAGAAGCGAAGGCGGCUCACUGGCCCGAUACUGACGCUGAGGCGCGAAAGCGUGGGGAGCAAACAGG